RNAcentral lists this ribosomal RNA (450 nucleotides) under uncultured bacterium. Its description in RNAcentral is "partial 16S ribosomal RNA". It matches the Rfam family "Bacterial small subunit ribosomal RNA", at positions 354 to 796 of the family's 1533-position model. The record is from RNAcentral.
GUGGGGAAUAUUGGACAAUGGGCGCAAGCCUGAUCCAGCCAUACCGCGUGGGUGAAGAAGGCCUUCGGGUUGUAAAGCCCUUUUGUUGGGAAAGAAAUCCUGUCGGUUAAUACCUGGCGGGGAUGACGGUACCCAAAGAAUAAGCACCGGCUAACUUCGUGCCAGCAGCCGCGGUAAUACGAAGGGUGCAAGCGUUACUCGGAAUUACUGGGCGUAAAGUGUGCGUAAGUGGUGGUUUAAGUCCGUUGUGAAAGCCCUGGGCUCAACCUGGGAAUUGCAGUGGAUACUGGAUCACUAGAGUGUGGUAGAGGGAUGCGGAAUUUCUGGUGUAGCAGUGAAAUGCGUAGAGAUCAGAAGGAACAUCCGUGGCGAAGGCGGCAUCCUGGGCCAACACUGACACUGAGGCACGAAAGCGUGGGGAGCAAACAGGAUUAGAAACCCCAGUAGUCC